CCUACGGGAGGCAGCAGUGGGGAAUAUUGGACAAUGGGGGGAACCCUGAUCCAGCCAUGCCGCGUGUGUGAAGAAGGCCCUCGGGUUGUAAAGCACUUUCAGUGAGGAAGAACGCCUGGUGGUUAAUACCCAUCAGGAAAGACAUCACUCACAGAAGAAGCACCGGCUAACUCCGUGCCAGCAGCCGCGGUAAUACGGAGGGUGCGAGCGUUAAUCGGAAUUACUGGGCGUAAAGCGCGCGUAGGUGGCUUGAUAAGCCGGUUGUGAAAGCCCCGGGCUCAACCUGGGAGCGGCAUCCGGAACUGUCAAGCUAGAGUGCAGGAGAGGAAGGUAGAAUUCCCGGUGUAGCGGUGAAAUGCGUAGAGAUCGGGAGGAAUACCAGUGGCGAAGGCGGCCUUCUGGACUGACACUGACACUGAGGUGCGAAAGCGUGGGUAGCAAACAGGAUUAGAUACCCGUGUAGUC
Molecule: ribosomal RNA, 465 nt
Filed under: Vreelandella stevensii
Lineage: Bacteria; Pseudomonadati; Pseudomonadota; Gammaproteobacteria; Oceanospirillales; Halomonadaceae
Description: partial 16S ribosomal RNA
Rfam family: Bacterial small subunit ribosomal RNA
Source: RNAcentral